AUUCGCGGCCUAUCAGCUUGUUGGUGAGGUAAUGGCUCACCAAGGCAACGACGGGUAGCCGGCCUGAGAGGGUGACCGGCCACACUGGGACUGAGACACGGCCCAGACUCCUACGGGAGGCAGCAGUGGGGAAUAUUGGACAAUGGGCGAAAGCCUGAUCCAGCAAUGCCGCGUGAGGGAUGACGGCCUUCGGGUUGUAAACCUCUUUCAGCAGGGACGAAGCGCAAGUGACGGUACCUGCAGAAGAAGCACCGGCCAACUACGUGCCAGCAGCCGCGGUAACACGUAGGGUGCGAGCGUUGUCCGGAAUUAUUGGGCGUAAAGGGCUCGUAGGCGGUUUGUCGCGUCGGGAGUGAAAACUCAGGGCUCAACCCUGUUCGUGCUUCCGAUACGGGCAAACUAGAGGUAGGCAGGGGAGAACGGAAUUCCUGGUGUAGCGGUGGAAUGCGCAGAUAUCAGGAGGAACACCGGUGGCGAAGGCGGUUCUCUGGGCCUAUUCUGACGCUGAGGAGCGAAAGCAUGGGGAGCGAACAGGAUUAGAUACCCUGGUAGUCCAUGCCGUAAACGUUGGGCGCUAGGUGUGGGACUCAUUCCACGAGUUCCGUGCCGCAGCUAACGCAUUAAGCGCCCCGCCUGGGGAGUACGGAAU
RNAcentral lists this ribosomal RNA (649 nucleotides) under uncultured Actinomycetes bacterium. Its description in RNAcentral is "bacterial SSU rRNA". It matches the Rfam family "Bacterial small subunit ribosomal RNA", at positions 229 to 888 of the family's 1533-position model. Lineage: Bacteria; Bacillati; Actinomycetota; Actinomycetes. The record is from RNAcentral.